GAUCCAAUUGAUAGAUCUCUAGAUAUCAUAGAAAUCCUAUCCAACCUCAAACUGCCAACUUCCAAAAUCCUCUUGUGCUAAAAACUAGAUAUCUCUAAACCAUGCCGUUAGAUUAUCACAAAAUUUUGUAUACACUUAGCCCACCUAAUAAUCCAAACAAUAUCAAAUUUUCAACCAUAGAUGUUAUACCAAUUGCACGAAUUAGCCAAAAUUGCUAGCCCUAAUUAUAUUAUAUAAAACCCAAAUCUCCAAUACAAACCCAAACUUUGAACAAAAAUUGCUAAGUCCUCCAAAAUCCUCCAAAAACAAUCCUUAUGCCUU
This 321-nucleotide long non-coding RNA is filed under the name Physcomitrium patens. Its description in RNAcentral is "long non-coding RNA (PPAT_LNC007135)". Lineage: Eukaryota; Viridiplantae; Streptophyta; Bryopsida; Funariales; Funariaceae. The record is from RNAcentral.